RNAcentral lists this ribosomal RNA (520 nucleotides) under uncultured Bacteroidota bacterium. RNAcentral describes it as "bacterial SSU rRNA". It matches the Rfam family "Bacterial small subunit ribosomal RNA", at positions 224 to 741 of the family's 1533-position model. The record is from RNAcentral. Lineage: Bacteria; Pseudomonadati; Bacteroidota.
GAUGAGCAUGCGUCCCAUUAGCUAGUUGGUAAGGUAACGGCUUACCAAGGCAACGAUGGGUAGGGGUCCUGAGAGGGAGAUCCCCCACACUGGUACUGAGACACGGACCAGACUCCUACGGGAGGCAGCAGUGAGGAAUAUUGGUCAAUGGGCGCAAGCCUGAACCAGCCAUGCCGCGUGCAGGAUGACGGUCCUAUGGAUUGUAAACUGCUUUUGUACAGGAAGAAACAGUUCUACGUGUAGAACCUUGACGGUACUGUAAGAAUAAGGAUCGGCUAACUCCGUGCCAGCAGCCGCGGUAAUACGGAGGAUCCAAGCGUUAUCCGGAAUCAUUGGGUUUAAAGGGUCCGUAGGCGGUUUUGUAAGUCAGUGGUGAAAGCCCAUCGCUCAACGGUGGAACGGCCAUUGAUACUGCAAGACUUGAAUUAUUGGGAAGCAACUAGAAUAUGUAGUGUAGCGGUGAAAUGCUUAGAGAUUACAUGGAAUACCAAUUGCGAAGGCAGGUUGCUACCAAUAUAUU